RNAcentral lists this ribosomal RNA (253 nucleotides) under uncultured bacterium. RNAcentral's name for it is "partial 16S ribosomal RNA". It matches the Rfam family "Bacterial small subunit ribosomal RNA", at positions 524 to 776 of the family's 1533-position model. The record is from RNAcentral.
UACGAAGGGUGCAAGCGUUGCUCGGAAUUAUUGGGCGUAAAGGGUAGGUAGGUGGUAAUACAAGUCUGGGGUGAAAUCCCUGAGCUCAACUCAGGACGUGCCUUGGAAACUUUAUUACUAGAGUGCUGGAGAGGUCCGCAGAAUUCCCGGUGUAGCGGUGAAAUGCGUAGAGAUCGGGAGGAAUACCAGAGGCGAAGGCGGCGGACUGGACAGCAACUGACACUCAACUACGAAAGCGUGGGUAGCAAACAGG